This 497-nucleotide ribosomal RNA is filed under the name uncultured bacterium. RNAcentral's name for it is "partial 16S ribosomal RNA". It matches the Rfam family "Bacterial small subunit ribosomal RNA", at positions 28 to 507 of the family's 1533-position model. The record is from RNAcentral.
GAUGAACGCUGGCGGCGUGCCUAAUACAUGCAAGUCGAGCGAACAGAUAAGGAGCUUGCUCCUCUGACGUCAGCGGCGGACGGGUGAGUAACACGUGGGUAACCUACCUAUAAGACUGGUAUAACUCCGGGAAACCGGUGCUAAUGACGGAUCAUAUUUAGAACCGCAUGGUUCUAAAGUGAAAGAUGGUUUUGCUAUCACUUAUAGAUGGACCCGGGCCGUAUUAGCUAGUUGGUAGGGUAACGGCUUACCAAGGCAACGAUACGUAGCCGACCUGAGAGGGGGAUCGCCCGCAUGGGAGCGGGAACGCGGACCAUGCGCCUACGGGAGGCAGCAGUAGGGAAUCGUCCGCAAUAGGCGAAAGCCUUACGGAGCAGCGCCACGUGAGUGAUAGAGGUCCUCGGAGCGUAAAACUCGGUUAUGAGUGAUGAACAAAUGUGUAAGGAACUGUACACGUCUUGACGGUACCUAAUCAGAAAGCCACGGCUAACUACGUG